This is a long non-coding RNA of Hyaena hyaena (striped hyena), 365 nucleotides long. RefSeq lists it as uncharacterized. The transcript has 2 exons. The record is from RefSeq and is a predicted model, not a curated record. Lineage: Eukaryota; Metazoa; Chordata; Mammalia; Carnivora; Hyaenidae.
UCUACUCCCCACCUCCGCCUUUCCCCAUCUCUACCCUCUUGGUCAUAAACUGGCCCAAGGGGAUGAAGAAUGAGGAAACCCAGGGUGUCACCACAUACCAAGGCCGCCUUAGCUCCACAAUGUCCGCAGAAUGCCCUCGCAACACCCCUGUUUGAGAAACACCGGGAUUAAGAAAUGGGAGUCAAAGAGAGGCAAGCUGGGCACACAGAGGAGAGGCGACAGCGUCAAGAAAGAUUGCAGGAUGGAAGCCUCUUUGCUAAAGCCCCGUGGAUAUCUGGAGCAACUGUGUUACUUACUAUUAGCAAGUCACUUAGCCUCUCUGGGCCUCGGUUUCUCCAUCCAUAAAUUGAGCAGGUUGGACUGGA